RNAcentral lists this long non-coding RNA (493 nucleotides) under Oreochromis niloticus (Nile tilapia). Its description in RNAcentral is "lncRNA (ENSONIG00000040909.1)". The record is from RNAcentral. Lineage: Eukaryota; Metazoa; Chordata; Actinopteri; Cichliformes; Cichlidae.
UUCUAUUUUAUUAUUAGUGUGAAUGCUUGUAAAAGGAUUCACAGUAUUGUUCUUCUAAUCUUUAUUAUUAGUGUGAAUGCUUGUAAAAGCAUUCACAGUAUUGUUGUUGUAAUCUUUAUUAUUAGUGUGAAUGCUUGUAAAAGCAUUCACAGUAUUGUUCUUCUAUUCUUUAUUAGUGUGAAUGCUUGUAAAAGCAUUCAUUAGUGUGAAUGCUUGUAAAAGCAUUCACAGUAUUGUUGUUGUAAUCUUUAUUAUUAUUAUUAGUGUGAAUGCUUGUAAAAGCAUUCACAGUAUUGUUCUUCUAAUCUUUAUUAGUGUGAAUGCUUGUAAAAGCAUUCACAGUAUUGUUGUUGUAAUCUUUAUUAUUAUUAUAUAUUCCGUACGUUUUUUGGCAUCUAUCUCCUUCAAAACCGUUCAACUUAGAAAAACCAUUCAAACACCGUUAGAUUCCUCUUCUUUUGGACAUGACUGCUUCUACUUUUCUCAUUUAUAA